This 1380-nucleotide ribosomal RNA is filed under the name uncultured bacterium. Its description in RNAcentral is "bacterial SSU rRNA". It matches the Rfam family "Bacterial small subunit ribosomal RNA". The record is from RNAcentral.
UUGAUCCUGGCUCAGGAUGAACGCUGGCGGCGUGCUUAACACAUGCAAGUCGAACGAAGCACUUGUCUUUGAUUCUUCGGAUGAAGAGGUUUGUGACUGAGUGGCGGACGGGUGAGUAACGCGUGGGUAACCUGCCUCAUACAGGGGGAUAACAGUUAGAAAUGACUGCUAAUACCGCAUAAGACCACGGAGCCGCAUGGCUCAGUGGGAAAAACUCCGGUGGUAUGAGAUGGACCCGCGUCUGAUUAGGUAGUUGGUGGGGUAACGGCCUACCAAGCCAACGAUCAGUAGCCGACCUGAGAGGGUGACCGGCCACAUUGGGACUGAGACACGGCCCAAACUCCUACGGGAGGCAGCAGUGGGGAAUAUUGCACAAUGGGGGAAACCCUGAUGCAGCGACGCCGCGUGAGCGAAGAAGUAUUUCGGUAUGUAAAGCUCUAUCAGCAGGGAAGAAAAUGACGGUACCUGACUAAGAAGCACCGGCUAAAUACGUGCCAGCAGCCGCGGUAAUACGUAUGGUGCAAGCGUUAUCCGGAAUUAUUGGGCGUAAAGAGCAUGUAGGCGGCUUAAUAAGUCGAGCGUGAAAAUGCGGGGCUCAACCCCGUAUGGCGCUGGAAACUGUUAGGCUUGAGUGCAGGAGAGGAAAGGGGAAUUCCCAGUGUAGCGGUGAAAUGCGUAGAUAUUGGGAGGAACACCAGUGGCGAAGGCGCCUUUCUGGACUGUGUCUGACGCUGAGAUGCGAAAGCCAGGGUAGCGAACGGGAUUAGAUACCCCGGUAGUCCUGGCCGUAAACGAUGGGUACUAGGUGUAGGAGGUAUCGACCCCUUCUGUGCCGGAGUUAACGCAAUAAGUACCCCGCCUGGGGAGUACGGCCGCAAGGUUGAAACUCAAAGGAAUUGACGGGGGCCCGCACAAGCGGUGGAGUAUGUGGUUUAAUUCGAAGCAACGCGAAGAACCUUACCAGGCCUUGACAUCCCUUGCAGAGGUAUAGAGAUAUAUCCGAGGUUAUCAAGGAGACAGGUGGUGCAUGGUUGUCGUCAGCUCGUGUCGUGAGAUGUUGGGUUAAGUCCCGCGACGAGCGCAACCCUUGUGAUAUGUUACUAACAUUGAGUUGAGGACUCAUAUCAGACUGCCGGUGAUAAACCGGAGGAAGGUGGGGAUGACGUCAAAUCAUCAUGCCCCUUAUGGCCUGGGCUACACACGUACUACAAUGGCGUCUACAAAGAGCGGCAAGCCUGUGAAGGCAAGCGAAUCUCAUAAAGGACGUCUCAGUUCGGAUUGAAGUCUGCAACCCGACUUCAUGAAGCUGGAAUCGCUAGUAAUCGCGAAUCAGCAUGUCGCGGUGAAUACGUUCUCGGGCCUUGCACUCACCGCCCGUCA